UACGGGGGGGGCAAGCGUUGUUCGGAAUUACUGGGCGUAAAGGGCUCGUAGGCGGCCAACUAAGCCAGACGUGAAAUCCCUCGGCUUAACCGGGGAACUGCGUCUGAUACUGGAUGGCUUGAGGUUGGGAGAGGGAUGCGGAAUUCCAGGUGUAGCGGUGAAAUGCGUAGAUAUCUGGAGGAACACCGGUGGCGAAGGCGGCAUCCUGGACCAAUUCUGACGCUGAGGAGCGAAAGCCAGGGGAGCAAACGGG
This 253-nucleotide ribosomal RNA is filed under the name uncultured bacterium. RNAcentral's name for it is "partial 16S ribosomal RNA". It matches the Rfam family "Bacterial small subunit ribosomal RNA", at positions 524 to 776 of the family's 1533-position model. The record is from RNAcentral.